Long non-coding RNA from Scylla paramamosain (green mud crab), 1182 nucleotides. RefSeq lists it as uncharacterized. NCBI's taxonomy places the organism in Eukaryota, Metazoa, Arthropoda, Malacostraca, Decapoda, Portunidae. The record is from RefSeq and is a predicted model, not a curated record. The transcript is spliced from 3 exons.
GUGGGGCUCGUGGGGAAGGGAUAGAGAUGGGGAGAAUCGAAGUCAGUUUCCAGGGAGGUAAUAGAGAAGGGGACUUUUUAUGCAAGAGGGGCACUGGUCAAAGGCAACAAAAUAUAUACCUAUGAAAAGAAAGAGCCAAAAAAGUUUAACACAAAUGAGAGAAGUGUCUUGAGACCUCGCUCUCGAAAGAAUUCAAUUUAUAGGAAGGGGGAAAUACAGAAGCAGGCAGGGAGUUCCAGAGUUUACCAGAAAAAAGGGAUGAAAGAUUGAAAAUACUGGUUAACUUUUGCAUUAGAGAGGUGGACAGAAUAGGGGUGAGCAAAAGUAGAAAGUCGUGUGCAACGAGGGCGCGGGAGGAUGGAAGGCAUGCAGUUAGCAAGAUCAGAAGAACAGUUGACGAGAAAAUAUCGAUAGAAGAUAGCAGGAGAUGCGACAUUGCGGGGAAGAGAGAGAGGCUGAAGACAUUCAGUUAGAGGAGAGGAGCUGGUAAGACGAAAGGCUGGUCUGGUCUGGGGGGACAGUCUCGUUAGGGGGACAGUAACCUGAUGAAGCGAGCAAACACGCGGUUCAAGAUUGUCCCAGAAACGAGUAAUCAUUGGUGACCGUCCUUAGCUCGGGACAGGACCAUCAGCUGGGCGGCGGCGGUAGUGGUGGCGACGGCGGUUGUGGUGGUAAGGUUAUACGAAGAGGAAGAAAAGGAAGAGAAGUAAAAGGAAAAGCCAGAGGAGGAGAAAGAAAAAUAGAAGAAGGCGCGAGAGAAGGAGAUGAGGAGGAGAAGGAGGAAAGCGCUAUAGAAGAAAGAAGAGCACCUCCCGCCUCGCGCCUUCCUUCCUCCCGUCUCCCGGAGUGUACACACCUGCACUCUUGAGGCUGCUGGCGAGAAGAACUGUGUCCCAAGCCCUCCACCAUGGCCGCCGCUCCGAAAGUUUGCGUCCGUCGCGCGAAGCUCAUCUUCCUGAUGGAGAACGCAGGCAAGGACGUCUUGACCUUCGUGUUGAAGCGCGGCGCGCUGAACGCCCCCGCCACGCCGCCAGGCCAGUCCCUCAUUGACUACCUUGACAACCUCCCUCAAGGCUCGACAGCCAACUAUGGCAGGAUGAGUAACAAACAAAAGAAAGCAGCACUGAACCACAGUUCAGUGCUGCUUAUCCUCUGACGUGACUACUUUAUUCAUUAUUUUUU